UACGUAGGGCGCAAGCGUUGUCCGGAAUUAUUGGGCGUAAAGAGCUCGUAGGUGGCGUGUCGCGUCUGCCGUGAAAGCCCAUGGCUUAACUGUGGGUCUGCGGUGGAUACGGGCAGGCUAGAGGCUGGUAGGGGCAAGCGGAAUUCCUGGUGUAGCGGUGAAAUGCGCAGAUAUCAGGAAGAACACCCGUGGCGAAGGCGGCUCUCUGGGACGGUACUGACGCUGAGACGCGAAAGCGUGGGGAGCGAACAGG
Molecule: ribosomal RNA, 253 nt
Filed under: uncultured bacterium
Lineage: Bacteria
Description: partial 16S ribosomal RNA
Rfam family: Bacterial small subunit ribosomal RNA
Source: RNAcentral